This 278-nucleotide long non-coding RNA is filed under the name Elaeis guineensis (African oil palm). RNAcentral describes it as "long non-coding RNA (EGUI_LNC004155)". The record is from RNAcentral. Lineage: Eukaryota; Viridiplantae; Streptophyta; Magnoliopsida; Arecales; Arecaceae.
CUGGGCGAAUCGGCUUUUAUGAAGAGUCAUUCUAGAUCGGACUUUGGUUGCCUGUGCAUCCCUUCGUUGUAGAAGUUUUUUACUUCUUUAACCUCUCUCUUUGCUCUCUUGUUCCUAAUUCCUUUUGUUUGAUCAUUGGCUUCGUGGUUGCUUGCUUCUUGGCUCGAGUCCGUCCGUCCAUCCCCCUCUUCCAAUCUUUCUUCAUCCUGAAGAGAUGUACCAUGGACUGGUGGUACAUCUCUCUCUCAAAGGAUGCCCCUACCUUGAUAAAGGGAGCC